Molecule: transfer RNA, 95 nt
Filed under: Actinoplanes cyaneus
Lineage: Bacteria; Bacillati; Actinomycetota; Actinomycetes; Micromonosporales; Micromonosporaceae
Description: tRNA-Ser
Source: RNAcentral
GACCUCGCCGAGGAGCGUUUCGCGGCCAUCCUCGACGACGGAGGAACGGGCGGCGGCUCGUAGUCCGCCCGCGUGCGAGGCGCGGUCCAGGUCGC